AACAGGAUUAGAUACCCUGGUAGUCCACGCCGUAAACGAUGUCGACUUGGAGGUUAUGCCCUUGAGGCGUGGCUUCCGGAGCUAACGCGUUAAGUCGACCGCCUGGGGAGUACGGCCGCAAGGUUAAAACUCAAAUGAAUUGACGGGGGCCCGCACAAGCGGUGGAGCAUGUGGUUUAAUUCGAUGCAACGCGAAGAACCUUACCUACUCUUGACAUCCAGAGAACUUAGCAGAGAUGCUUUGGUGCCUUCGGGAACUCUGAGACAGGUGCUGCAUGGCUGUCGUCAGCUCGUGUUGUGAAAUGUUGGGUUAAGUCCCGCAACGAGCGCAACCCUUAUCCUUUGUUGCCAGCGGUCCGGCCGGGAACUCAAAGGAGACUGCCAGUGAUAAACUGGAGGAAGGUGGGGAUGACGUCAAGUCAUCAUGGCCCUUACGAGUAGGGCUACACACGUGCUACAAUGGCAUAUACAAAGAGAAGCGACCUCGCGAGAGCAAGCGGACCUCAUAAAGUAUGUCGUAGUCCGGAUUGGAGUCUGCAACUCGACUCCAUGAAGUCGGAAUCGCUAGUAAUCGUGGAUCAGAAUGCCACGGUGAAUACGUUCCCGGGCCUUGUACACACCGCCCGUCACACCAUGGGAGUGGGUUGCAAAAGAAGUAGGUAGCUUAACCUUCGGGAGGGCGCUUACCACUUUGUGAUUCAUGACUGGGGUGAAGUCGUAACAAGGUAACC
RNAcentral lists this ribosomal RNA (730 nucleotides) under uncultured bacterium. Its description in RNAcentral is "bacterial SSU rRNA". It matches the Rfam family "Bacterial small subunit ribosomal RNA", at positions 771 to 1501 of the family's 1533-position model. The record is from RNAcentral.